Molecule: ribosomal RNA, 228 nt
Filed under: uncultured bacterium
Lineage: Bacteria
Description: partial 16S ribosomal RNA
Rfam family: Bacterial small subunit ribosomal RNA
Source: RNAcentral
GAUCCUGGGCUCAGGAUGAACGCUGGCGGCGUGCCUAACACAUGCAAGUCGAACGGAGUCGUUUUGGAAAAUCCUUCGGGAUUGGAAUUCUCGACUUAGUGGCGGACGGGUGAGUAACGCGUGAGCAAUCUGCCUUCAAGAGGGGGAUAACAGUCGGAAACGGCUGCUAAUACCGCAUAAAGCAUCAAAUUCGCAUGUUUUUGAUGCCAAAGGAGCAAUCCGCUUUUA